RNAcentral lists this long non-coding RNA (330 nucleotides) under Rattus norvegicus (Norway rat). Its description in RNAcentral is "long non-coding RNA NONRATT021043". The record is from RNAcentral. Lineage: Eukaryota; Metazoa; Chordata; Mammalia; Rodentia; Muridae.
GAACUGAUAAUGAGCAAGUAUCGAGAGCAGAUGUUCAGAUUGCUAAUGGCCAGCAAGAAGGACGACCCGGGCAUAAUAAUGAAGUUAAAGGAGCAGCACUCAAAGAUUGACAUGGUACAUCGUAACAGCUGCGAAGGAUUCUUCCUGGAUGCAUCUCGGCACAUCCUUGAAGCACCUCAGCACGGACUGGAGAGGAGGCACUUGGAAGCAAAUCAGAAUGUACACUAAAUCAAACAGUCAACUUUGGGGGUGGGUGGAAGUGGGGUCCAUUUAAAAAGUUGUUUUACUUUGACUUGCCCUUCAGAUUAGACCAGCAAAUAAAUGGAGUCA